AAGUUUGGACAAUGGGGGAAACCCUGAUCCAGCCAUCCCGCGCGUAUGAUGAAGGCCUUCGGGUUGUAAAGUACGUUUGGCCGAGAAGAAAAGGUAUCUCCUAAUCCGAGACACUGUUGAUGGUCUCUGCCGAAAAAGCACCGGCCAACUACCUGCGAGCAGCCGCGGUAAUACGUAGGGUGCAAGCGUUAAUCGGAAUUACUGGGCGUAAAGCGUGUGUAGGCGGUUCGGAAAGAAAGAUGUGAAAGCCCAGGGCUCAACCUUGGAACUGCAUUUUUAACUGGCGAACUAGAGUAUGUCAGAGGGGGGUAGAAUUCCACGUGUAGCAGUGAAAUGCGUAGAUAUGUGGAGGAAUACCGAUGGCGAAGGCAGCCCCCUGGGAUAAUACUGACGCUCAGACACGAAAGCGUGGGGAGCAAACAGG
RNAcentral lists this ribosomal RNA (424 nucleotides) under uncultured bacterium. RNAcentral's name for it is "partial 16S ribosomal RNA". It matches the Rfam family "Bacterial small subunit ribosomal RNA", at positions 359 to 776 of the family's 1533-position model. The record is from RNAcentral.